Molecule: non-coding RNA, 654 nt
Organism: Pelobates cultripes (western spadefoot toad)
Lineage: Eukaryota; Metazoa; Chordata; Amphibia; Anura; Pelobatidae
Source: the annotation of a GenBank genome assembly
GCCAACUAUAUACCCAUCACCUGACAUCUAUUCUUUGCACAUUUAUUUUCAUCAUUGUUUACUAAAAUUUAAUAAAACUAAGUUUUACUUUUGAAAUCCAGGGGUAAGCCAAUCAUUUAAUAAAACACGCAAACUGAUAAGUAAUAAAAUGCACAAAACUGAAAAUAAAAUAAAAAAAAUCUUUAUUGCUUAUUGGAUAUUGCUUUUACAAGUGGAAACAGGUCACUUAAAACGUAUUCUAGAAAUAACACUGUACAUGAACAGAAAUGUGUAUUUGAACCAUUAGUGUGAAAAAUAUAUAGAAAUAACAAAAAACACUAAUACACCUUGUUCACCAAAUUUUAUAUAUAAAAAGCUACAAUACAAAUGAAUUCAAUGAUAAUCCUAACUGAGAAAAAUCAAUCUAUAAAUACAUUGUAAAUAAGGCUAUUUUAUGUAACAUUUUUAGUGGGAACUCAAAAUAAUAUUUUACAUAUAUAAUUUUUCAUUGAUACAUAGUCUGUUAAAAUGUCUACUUUUUGUCCCAUUCAAGAAAAGAGUUAUUCUUGUGACUCUUUGCCUGCCAAUCGAUAAACCUCUGUCGGUCCAUCUACGUUGGUGAUUGUGGUCGUUAAUUGAAGUUCUUCUGCGCUUCCCAUUCCUAAAAAAAAAAAA